RNAcentral lists this unclassified non-coding RNA (438 nucleotides) under Hevea brasiliensis (rubber tree). Lineage: Eukaryota; Viridiplantae; Streptophyta; Magnoliopsida; Malpighiales; Euphorbiaceae. The record is from RNAcentral.
ACUCUGCCCUCCUCGCCGCCGCCGCCGAUGACGACUCCACCUUCCGCCUCGUCGACGGCAAGCCUCCUCCCCGCCCCAAGUUCGGCCCCCGCUGGCGUUUCCAGCAGCGCACUCAGCUCCCCCAGCGCCGCGACGAAGAAGUCGAGGCGAAGAAGCGCGAGGCCGAGAAGGAGCGCGCCCGCCGCGACCGCCUCUGGCAGAACAACCGGCGUUCCGGCCCCGGCGGCAACAACUACUACCAAGGCGGACCCCGCCGUGACUCCCCGGCACUCAAAUCCUCCGUUGACAUCCAGCCGGAAUGGACAAUGCUGGACCAGAUCCCUUUCUCCACCUUCACCAAGCUCUCGUACGCCGUCCCCGACCCCCCGGAAGACCUCCUGCAAUGUGGGGCUCUCGAAUUCUACGACCGCACCUUCGACCGCCUCACCCCGAAGAGCG